GACGAACGCUGGCGGCGUGCUUAAUACAUGCAAGUCGAACGGAAAGGUCCUGCCUUUGUGGGGUGCUCGAGUGGCGAACGGGGGAGUAACACGUGAGUAACCUGCCCUUUACUUUGAGAUAACCUCAGGAAACUGGGGCUAAUACCGGAUAGGAGCUCCUGCUGCAUGGUGGGGGCUGGAAAGUUUCGGCGGUUGGGGAUGGACUCGCGGCCUAUCAGCUUGUUGGUUGGGUAGUGGCUUAGCAAGGCCUUGACAGGUAGCCGGCCUGGGAGGAUGAGCGGCCACAUUAGAACUGAGAUGCGGCCCAGACUAGUACGGGAGGCAACGGUGGAGAAUAUUACACAAGGGGCGGAAGCCUGAUGCAGCAACGCAGCGUGCGGGAUGACGGCCUUCGGGUUGUGUACCGCUUUCGCCUGUGACGAGGCGUGAAUGACAGUAAUGGGUAAAGAAGCUCCGGCUAACUACGUG
RNAcentral lists this ribosomal RNA (468 nucleotides) under uncultured bacterium. RNAcentral describes it as "partial 16S ribosomal RNA". It matches the Rfam family "Bacterial small subunit ribosomal RNA", at positions 28 to 507 of the family's 1533-position model. The record is from RNAcentral.